Molecule: ribosomal RNA, 253 nt
Filed under: uncultured bacterium
Lineage: Bacteria
Description: partial 16S ribosomal RNA
Rfam family: Bacterial small subunit ribosomal RNA
Source: RNAcentral
UACGGGGGGGGCAAGCGUUGUUCGGAAUUACUGGGCGUAAAGGGCGCGUAGGCGGUCCGCUAAGUUAGAUGUGAAAACUCUGGGCUCAACCCAGAGCCUGCAUCUAAUACUGACGGGCUAGAGUUCUGGAGGGGGUAGCGGAAUUCCUGGUGUAGCGGUGAAAUGCGUAGAUAUCAGGAGGAACACCGGUGGCGAAAGCGGCGCGCUGGAUCUCUUCUGACGCUGAGGCGCGACAGCGUGGGUAGCAAACAGG